AGCAGCCGCGGUAAUUCCAGCUCCAAUAGCGUAUAUUAAAGUUGUUGCAGUUAAAAAGCUCGUAGUUGAAUUUCGGGAUUGACACAUCGGUCGUGCCUUAAGGGGUAUGAACUGGUGUAGUCAAUUUCUCACCUUCUGGAGAACCGCGAUGCCCUUAAUUGGGUGUCGCGGGGAACCAGGACCUUUACUUUGAAAAAAUUAGAGUGUUUAAAGCAGGCAUUUUGCUUGAAUACAUUAGCAUGGAAUAAUAAAAUAGGACGGCAUGAUUCUAUUUUGUUGGUUUCUAGGAUCACCGUAAUGAUUAAUAGGGAUAGUUGGGGGCAUUAGUAUUCAAUUGUCAGAGGUGAAAUUCUUGGAUUUAUUGAAGACUAACUACUGCGAAAGCAUUUGCCAAGGAUGUUUUCAUUAAUCAAGAACGAAAGUUAGGGGAUCGAAGACGAUCAGAUACCGUCGUAGUCUUAACCAUAAACUAUGCCGACUAGGAAUCAGACGAUGUUAAUUUUUAUGACUCGUUUGGCAC
Molecule: ribosomal RNA, 520 nt
Filed under: uncultured Entrophospora
Lineage: Eukaryota; Fungi; Glomeromycota; Glomeromycetes; Entrophosporales; Entrophosporaceae
Description: SSU rRNA
Rfam family: Eukaryotic small subunit ribosomal RNA
Source: RNAcentral